Corticium candelabrum is the source of this 5062-nucleotide RNA transcript. It is a transcript of the gene named superkiller complex protein 2-like, with no coding region annotated. The record is from RefSeq and is a predicted model, not a curated record. The transcript has 33 exons. Lineage: Eukaryota; Metazoa; Porifera; Homoscleromorpha; Homosclerophorida; Plakinidae.
ACGCGGUCUAAAUUCCAAGGCAUUCCACAUCUGGGAGCUCAAAAUGUUACAAGAUCAGCUCGAAAAGGCUGAAAAAUCGGACGUGAAAUUCGAUGCUCGUCUGUUGGGCUGCUCUUUCCGUCUCGUUGAGACUGGAGCAGCAGGAGGAGUGCAACUGGUGGAAGGAGAAUACUCACGUGACACACUAGACAAGCCUUUCUCGACGUUGCCAUGUGGUAUGCCUCCUGUCAUUGGAGGUGACAGAAAGUCAUCACUAGAACGUUUCUUGCUUCAACCUGAAAAGCUUCCCAUCCACGACCCAAAGAGAUCACACAAGUUUUGGCCACGAGAAAUUGAUUACACGUCUCUUUAUCAUAUUGAUGUUACAACUUCACACACAACAUUGUCAGUUGAACGAGACAAGAAGACAGGAAAACUGCUAAAAUACACUGAGGUGAACAUUCCUAAUCCGGACAGCAGUGCUCACACAUCAACAUCACUAUCCAGACCUCCUGGCUUGAUAUCAGACUCUAUCAAGGGAUUGUCAUCCAACAUUCCGUUUUGGCCUGGUGGGCUUGAUGAACCUGAUCUUAGUGUGUCAGUUGGUGCUGAAGCUGAAGACAUCGACUUUGAAAAUGACUUGCUGACUUGUCCACCUGGCUUUGCUGCUGGAAUAGAAAUUGAACAGAAGAAGAAACCAGCGGUGAUUGCACGACAAAUUGUCAAUGUUGCUCAGCUCAAUUUAGAUGACGUGCUUGCAGAGGAAUUCACUUUGGAUACUCUGGCACCAAGCGAUGAGGAGAAUGAAUCAGAGGAAGACGAGAGAGAAGUGGUAGCAGCGAAUGAAAACCUUCAUCGAUCAGAAAGUUUAGAAAAUAUCCUUCCAAAGAUCAGCAACGAAACAACAACAACCAAGUCACAACAAACAACUAAACCAAACUGGGUCAUUAAUAUCAACACAACAGAACCUGUCAACAACUUCCACAAGCUCAUACCACACAUGGCAUACGAGUGGCCAUUUGAGCUCGAUAUCUUUCAGAAACAAGCAAUUUUGUGCCUGGAACGCGGCGACUGUGUGUUUGUUGCUGCUCACACGUCGGCUGGUAAAACAGUGGUGGCUGAGUAUGCGAUUGCUUUGUCUACUAAACACAUGACGAAGACGAUUUAUACGUCACCAAUUAAAGCUUUGUCUAAUCAGAAGUUUAGAGAUUUUCGGAUGAGUUUUGGAGACGUUGGGCUGGUGACGGGAGACGUGCAGAUUAAGCCGGAUGCUGCGUGUCUUAUUAUGACGACUGAGAUUCUUAGGUCUAUGCUGUACAAUGGAUCUGAUGUGAUUCGUGACGUUGAGUGGGUUAUCUUUGAUGAAGUUCACUACAUCAACGACACGGAGCGAGGUGUUGUGUGGGAGGAAGUGUUGAUCAUGCUGCCUGAUCAUGUCAAUAUUGUGCUGCUGUCUGCGACUGUCCCAAACACUUAUGAAUUUGCUGACUGGAUUGGACACACAAAGCAAAAACCAAUCUAUGUGAUCAGCACUGCAAAGAGGCCCGUCCCUCUUGAACAUUAUCUCUACACUGGAAACAGCAGCAAGACAUGUGAUGAACUUUUUCUACUUGUUGAUGCUGACGGACGAUUCUUGACUAAAGGAUAUCAACGUGCUGUUGAUGCAAAGAAGGCAAGAGAGACGAAGAGUUCGGCCGGGUUUGGAACAAAGGGACCACUGCAUGGAGGAAAUUUUAAGCAGGACAAAAACAUCUUUCUUUCUCUUAUUAAUAAACUAAAGAAAGACGAUCGUUUGCCUGUUGUCGCCUUCACGUUUUCUCGUAAACGAUGUGAUGAGAAUGCAAGCGGUCUGACAACAAUUGAUAUGACGACGAGUGCAGAGAAGAGUGAGAUAACCGUCUUCUUCAGCAAAUCAGUGGCAAGAUUGAAAGGCACAGACAAACAACUACCACAGGUGUUGAGAUUGAAAGAAUUGUUAGCACGUGGUAUUGGAGUCCAUCACAGUGGCAUUCUACCAAUCAUGAAAGAGGUAAUUGAGAUGCUCUUUCAACGUGGCCUCGUCAAGCUCUUGUUUGCUACUGAAACGUUUGCAAUGGGUGUCAACAUGCCGGCUCGUACUGUGGUGUUUGACUCUACAAGGAAACACGAUGGGACAGCAUUGAGAAAUCUUCUUUCAGGUGAAUAUAUUCAGAUGGCUGGACGAGCUGGAAGGAGGGGAUUGGACUCGACGGGCACUGUCAUACUCUUGUGUAAGGGAGAUGUACCUGAGACGUCAGAAUUACACCAAAUGAUGUUGGGUCGUCCUACAAAGCUCGAGUCAAAGUUCCGGCUCACUUACAGCAUGAUACUCAACCUGCUGCGGGUGGAACAGCUGCGAGUUGAGGACAUGAUGAAGCGCAGUUUUGCUGAACUCGAUCUUCAACGAGACGCACAACAAGCAUCAAGUCAGCGGCAAGAACUGGAGCAGCAGAUUAAGGAUUUUCAAGAGAAGACUUUUCCAAUGUGCGACGACAUAGAAGAAUAUUACUUUGCUGCAUCGGAGUUGAAUGAGUUGAAGCAUUCACUGCAGUCACAGAUCACCAAUUCUCCACAAGCAGCCAAACUCCUCUCGUCCGGUCGUAUCAUCGUCAUCAACAACCAACACCACAACAACACGUUAGCCGUUCUCCUCCAACCCUCAACAUCCCGCAGUCGUCUGACAACAUCCGUGAGUGACACAUCAAAGUCAUACACAGUUUUGAUUCUUUGCAAUGAGAAACAACGAGACGUGACGUCACAGCAACCAACUACACAUGCAUCUCACUACACACCGUCAACUCCUGCUGUCAUAUCGGGACGAACGCCGUUGUUUUGUCCGGAUGGUCCGUGUGGUCACGUGGUGGUUGAUGUGAAGCCGAUUGAGAUCGCUGUGAUUACUGAUCGGAUGUUACGAGUGAAUGCGAGUUAUAUUAUUGAUGAUUAUAGGAAGAGGCAACAGACGAGGUUUAGGGACAAUCCACCAGGAAGGGAAUGCUCUAUUGCUACUCAAGAGCUUCUUCGGCUUGUUGAAACCAACCCUGAUGGUCUCGAAGCAAUAGAUCCAGUCAAAGAUCUCAACAUGAGAGACAUCGACUUCAUAGAGAAGUUCAGACGCUCACAGUUUCUAGAGCAAUCACUCCAGACAUUUCAGUGCGUUCACUCUCCGCAUUUUGUUGAAGCGUUUGAACAAACGAGAAGGAAGCAGAAAAUGUUGGAGAGUCUCAAUCGAUUGAAGUUUCUUCUCUCUGACGAGAGUCUUCAACUGCUGCCAGAAUAUCGACAAAGAGUUGAGGUGCUCAAGCGACUUGCUUUUAUUGACGUUGAUACAAAUGUUCAGUUGAAGGGUCGUGUGGCUUGUGAGAUUAGCAACCAUGAGUUGUUUAUCACUGAACUGGUUUUUGAGAACAUUCUUCGUGACCUGGACCCAACAGAAAUCGUCGCUAUUCUUUCUUGUUUUGUCUUUCAACAGAAACACACCAGUGAACCUCAACUAACAGAGACACUACAGAAUACAAAGGACCAGGUGAUCGAUCUCGCAACUAGAUUGGCUGGAGUGCAAAUGGAGUGCGAUCUCCAAAUCACCGUAGAGGAGUUUGUUGGAGAACUUCACUUUGGUUUAGUUGAAGCUGUUUACGAAUGGGCAAGAGGAAUGCCAUUUUCAGAGAUCACCAAUCUAACAGACGUUCAGGAGGGCAUCAUAGUGCGUUGCAUCCAGCGACUAGACGAAGUAUGUCGUGAUGUUCGUACGAUUGCAAGGAUGGUCGGUGACCCUGUACUGUAUGAGAAAAUGGACCAAGGCUCGUCGCUCAUCAAACGAGACAUUGUUUUUGCUGCAAGCUUGUACACUCAAUGAACACACUGUUGGUUUAAUUAACAAAUAAAGUUGAGAGCAAGAGAUUGAUAUCAAUGCAUUUGCUACUCUAUCUUUUGUGGUUGCUGUAAAACUGGUCAGUGUGCAGAGAGAAUGAUUGCACGUGAUCAAAUUUUAAUUAAUAGUUGCGGAUGGGAAUGUCACGGGACUGUUCCCUUUAUUGUAGACUGUCGGUUGUUAUGUGCGAAAUGAACAAAAAAUUAUUGUUUGAAGUUGUGUAUUAUGCGAUAUGGGAGUUGAUAUCAAUAGACGUUAUUUUGGGGACACUCUUCUGAUAAAAGCGUGUAGGAAUAAUCAGAAGGAAAUGGUUGAGUUUCUACUCACUCAAUCAGCAGAUGUUAAUAGGACUAACAGUUGUGGAUGGACAGGUUUGAUUGUGGCAGCAGAGAAGGGAUUUGUUGAUAUAGUGAAUAUACUUUUGAAGACCAAAGAUAUUAAUGUGAUGAAGAAGAUUGAUUUUUUUGGAUGGACAGCCAUCCAUAUUGCUGCAGCGAAUAAUCACGUGACCAUUGUAGAGAGACUUUUGUCUUGUUCUGUUCCUGUUGAUAUCAAUGAUAAUCUUGGUCGUACACCACUGUGGUAUGCUGCCCAUGGUGGUCGUGUGUGUUGUGUUGAUGUUCUCCUAAGACAUGGAGCGAGUCCCCGACAUAAGAGUAAUGCCUUAUUUGGAUCACCACUGGAGAUUUCCAAGGAAGAGGGUCACAGCGAUGUGGUUGAGAUGAUGGAAGAAGCCAUAAGAUGUAAGUGAAAGAAACAAUUAAUUUGUGUUUUUGUUUUUUCUUCUUUUGAUUUAAUGUGAUGAUUUUGGUGUGAGGUUAGAUUGAUAUUGUUGAAUGAUUUGCUUGUUAUCUUGUCUGUGGAGCUAUUGUAGUGAUGUGCUGCUUUUGAUCUUCUCACUUCUUUUCCUCUCAACAUUUGGGUUGAGGUGAUGUGUCUGCUUGUUUUAUUGUGUGUUGUGUGUGUGUGUGUGUCUGUCCAUUUGUCACUCAAAUCAGUUAAUGAGUUAAUAAUAUUUUCCUGUUGUCUUCUCCUCUACAUAUCUGUAUGUUUAUCUUUUUCCACACUCGUGUGUAAAUUAUUAUUUGUUUGUCUUUUGUUAAUUUUUAUCUGUUGGUCAUGUUGGACAAAUUGUUGUUGCUUGUUGUUUUAAUUAAAUUAUCUUUGUGUGUGUGUGUGUGUGUGUGUGUGUGUGUG